RNAcentral lists this ribosomal RNA (598 nucleotides) under Distichodus fasciolatus (sharktail distichodus). RNAcentral describes it as "partial 16S large subunit ribosomal RNA". It matches the Rfam family "Bacterial large subunit ribosomal RNA", at positions 1809 to 2609 of the family's 2925-position model. The record is from RNAcentral. Lineage: Eukaryota; Metazoa; Chordata; Actinopteri; Characiformes; Distichodontidae.
AAAAACAUCGCCUCCCGCAAAAUCUCAAUGUAUAGGAGGUCUUGCCUGCCCAGUGAACUAGUUUAAACGGCCGCGGUAUCUUGACCGUGCAAAGGUAGCGCAAUCACUUGUCUUUUAAAUGAAGACCUGUAUGAAUGGUGGAACGAGGGCUUAACUGUCUCCCCCCUUAGGUCAGUGAAAUUGAUCUACCCGUGCAGAAGCGGGUAUAAAAAUACAAGACGAGAAGACCCUUUGGAGCUUAAGACACCAAGACCACUUAUGUCAAAAAUCCACUACAAAGCAGAUUAAACCUAAUAAUAUAUGGUCCCAGUCUUCGGUUGGGGCGACCGCGGGGGAAAAUAAAGCCCCCAUGUGGAAUGGGAAAAAUAUCCUAAAACCAAGAGAGACAUCUCUAAGACACAGAACAUCUGACCAUUAUAGAUCCGGCUAUACAGCCGAUCAACGGACCAAGUUACCCUAGGGAUAACAGCGCAAUCCCCUCCCAGAGUCCCUAUCGACAAGGGGGUUUACGACCUCGAUGUUGGAUCAGGACAUCCUAAUGGUGCAGCCGCUAUUAAGGGUUCGUUUGUUCAACGAUUAAAGUCCUACGUGAUCUGAG